GACGAACGCUGGCGGCGUGCUUAACACAUGCAAGUCGAACGGAAAGGCCCUGCUUUUGUGGGGUGCUCGAGUGGCGAACGGGUGAGUAACACGUGAGUAACCUGCCCUUGACUUUGGGAUAACUUCAGGAAACUGGGGCUAAUACCGGAUAGGAGCUCCUGCUGCAUGGUGGGGGUUGGAAAGUUUCGGCGGUUGGGGAUGGACUCGCGGCUUAUCAGCUUGUUGGUGGGGUAGUGGCUUACCAAGGCUUUGACGGGUAGCCGGCCUGAGAGGGUGACCGGCCACAUUGGGACUGAGAUACGGCCCAGACUCCUACGGGAGGCAGCAGUGGGGAAUAUUGCACAAUGGGCGGAAGCCGGAUGCAGCAACGCCGCGUGCGGGAUGACGGCCUUCGGGUUGUAAACCGCUUUCGCCUGUGACGAAGCGUGAGUGACGGUAAUGGGUAAAGAAGCACCGGCUAACUACGCG
Molecule: ribosomal RNA, 468 nt
Filed under: uncultured bacterium
Lineage: Bacteria
Description: partial 16S ribosomal RNA
Rfam family: Bacterial small subunit ribosomal RNA
Source: RNAcentral